UACAGAGGUCUCAAGCGUUGUUCGGAUUCAUUGGGCGUAAAGGGUGCGUAGGUGGCGCCGUAAGUCAGGUGUGAAGUUUCGGAGCUCAACUCCGAAACUGCAUUUGAUACUGCGGUGCUUGAGGACUGGAGAGGAGACUGGAAUUCACGGUGUAGCAGUGAAAUGCGUAGAUAUCGUGAGGAAGACCAGUGGCGAAGGCGGGUCUCUGGACAGUUCCUGACACUGAGGCACGAAGGCCAGGGGAGCAAACGGG
RNAcentral lists this ribosomal RNA (253 nucleotides) under uncultured bacterium. RNAcentral's name for it is "partial 16S ribosomal RNA". It matches the Rfam family "Bacterial small subunit ribosomal RNA", at positions 524 to 776 of the family's 1533-position model. The record is from RNAcentral.